GAAGAAACGGUGUGGCUGCAACACAGGGGAAAGGGGCAAAUGGUGUAAAAUAAGGCCAGUGGCAGGCAGGUGCCAGACGGCGUAAAACCCGAAGACUGUGUAAGAGCAGGCCAGCAUGGCUCUAAAGGCAAUAGGAUGACACCAUACGGUUUUAGAACCCGGACAGACGUGCUCCUAAUUUCAAGAUCACUUCUGCUGCUGUGAGAAUGGAGUAGUCCAGGAGUGAGGCGCGAGGACCCUCCCGCACUCACCAGGUCCGGCCGGUAGUACCUGUGCACCACCUCCGCGCCGGCGCACAUGGCCAGGAGACUGGCGGCGAACAUUUUCAGGGCCGCACCCACAGCAUAUUCCAUAUUCCCAAGCUAGGGGUUGAAUCAGAGGUGCAGCUGCCAGCCUAUACCACAGCUACAGCAACAUGGUAUCUGGGCCACGGCUUCGACCUACAACACAGCUCACAGCAAUGCUGGAUCCUUAAUCCACUGAGCAAGGCCAGGGAUCAAACCCACAUCCUCAUGGAUACUAGUCAGGUUUGUUACCACUGAGCCCCAGUGGGAACUCCAGUAUUUCAUAUUUUUUGAUGUUACUGUGAAUGGUAUUUUUUCUGAUGGUUUGUUGGUAGUAUAUAGGAUAUCACAAUUGAUUAUCCUUUACUGAUCUUUUAUUCUACAACUUUAUUAAACUCAUUUAUUCUAGUACCUUUUUUGUAGGUUUCAUAGGCUUUCCUACAUUAAACCAUACAAUGAACUCUGAAUAAAUACGGUAAGCUUUUUUUAUAGAUGUCAUUUAUCAAGUUAAGAAAGUUCCUUUCUGUUCCUAAACUGCUUAAAGUUUUCUUUAUCAGAAAUGGAUGUUGGACUUUGUCAAAUCCUUAAUCUGUAUCUAUUCAGGUGGUCAUAAGGGUUUUGAAAAAAUCGCUAAUAUGAUAAGUUACAUAGAAUGAUUUUUUCAAAUGUUAAGUUAGUCUUAUAUUACAAUCACUCCUCCACAUCCAUUGGUUCCACAGCCAGGGAUUCAACCAUUGAAAGUUAAAAAAAAAAAAAAGUCCAUAAAGUUCCAAAAAAAAAA
Molecule: long non-coding RNA, 1065 nt
Filed under: Sus scrofa (pig)
Lineage: Eukaryota; Metazoa; Chordata; Mammalia; Artiodactyla; Suidae
Description: lncRNA (ENSSSCG00025047425.1)
Source: RNAcentral